This 259-nucleotide unclassified non-coding RNA is filed under the name Chaetothyriales sp. RNAcentral describes it as "partial contains 5.8S ribosomal RNA, internal transcribed spacer 2, and large subunit ribosomal RNA". Lineage: Eukaryota; Fungi; Ascomycota; Eurotiomycetes; Chaetothyriales. The record is from RNAcentral.
CGCACAUUGCGCCCCUUGGUAUUCCGAGGGGCAUGCCUGUUCGAGCGUCAUUAUCACCCCUCAAACUUCGGUUUGGUGUUGGACUUAGUUAUACUUCGGUCUAACUGGUCUCAAAGAUAGUGACGGCGUCCGAGAAGGAACCGGUACGAGGAGUUUUUUAUUAAACAUGUACGCGGCAGGAUUCUCGGGCGGCGGUCUUUAUACUUAUAAUUAUACAAGUGUUGACCUCGGAUCAGGUAGGAAUACCCGCUGAACUUAA